This 188-nucleotide non-coding RNA is filed under the name Macrococcus equipercicus. Its description in RNAcentral is "6S RNA". It matches the Rfam family "6S / SsrS RNA". From Rfam's summary of the family: E. coli 6S RNA was the first non coding RNA to be sequenced, but its function was unknown until recently. It consists of 184 nucleotides that fold into an extended hairpin structure with a large single-stranded internal bulge. Lineage: Bacteria; Bacillati; Bacillota; Bacilli; Caryophanales; Staphylococcaceae. The record is from RNAcentral.
GAAUAUCUGAAGAGUUCGACAUUUGUUUUUCUAUUUUGACCUAACACUUUUGAUUAGGGAGUCUAAUGGGUUUUCAUACUAAGCACAAGCCUAUAUUAUAGGACGUGCAAUGUAAGAAACAGGACACCCACCUGUAUAUAGCAGGCCAAAAUAAUCAACUUUAAGAUGACGGCUCAGUCGGAUGUUAU